CCUACGGGAGGCAGCAGUAAGGAAUAUUGGUCAAUGGACGCAAGUCUGAACCAGCCAUGCCGCGUGCAGGAUGAAGGCCCUCUGGGUUGUAAACUGCUUUUAUAGGGGACGAAAAAGGGACUUUCUAGUUCAACUGACGGUACCCUAGGAAUAAGCACCGGCUAACUCCGUGCCAGCAGCCGCGGUAAUACGGAGGGUGCAAGCGUUAUCCGGAUUUACUGGGUUUAAAGGGUGCGUAGGUGGGUCGGUAAGUCAGCGGUGAAAUCUUCGAGCUUAACUCGGAAACUGCCAUUGAUACUAUCGAUCUUGAAUCAUCUGGAGGUAAGCGGAAUAUGUCAUGUAGCGGUGAAAUGCUUAGAUAUGACAUAGAACACCAAUUGCGAAGGCAGCUUACUACGGAUGUAUUGACACUGAGGCACGAAAGCGUGGGGAUCAAACAGGAUUAGAUACCCUGGUAGUCCACGCCUAAACGAUGGAUACUCGACAUACGUGAUAUACUAUGUGUGUCUGAGCGAAAGCAUUAAGUAUCCCACCUGGGAAGUACGAUCGCAAGAUUGAAACUCAAAGGAAAUUGACGGCUGAGAGAGCGAGACGACGACGAGGGAGAGG
RNAcentral lists this ribosomal RNA (609 nucleotides) under uncultured bacterium. Its description in RNAcentral is "bacterial SSU rRNA". It matches the Rfam family "Bacterial small subunit ribosomal RNA", at positions 338 to 947 of the family's 1533-position model. The record is from RNAcentral.